This 136-nucleotide unclassified non-coding RNA is filed under the name soil metagenome. Its description in RNAcentral is "partial internal transcribed spacer 1". The record is from RNAcentral.
UUGAUAAUAUAGUUUAUACUAUCAUUAAUUAUGUGCACUGUUACCCGCCAAUUGGCGGCCGUAAGGUCGUCAAUUGGCCCCAAUUAAAAUAUUUAUUAAUAACUUUUUUAUACCAGUAAUCAUAUAAACUUAUGAC